AGGAAUAUUGGUCAAUGGGCGAGAGCCUGAACCAGCCAAGUAGCGUGCAGGAUGACGGCCCUAUGGGUUGUAAACUGCUUUUAUAAGGGAAUAAAGUGAGAGUCGUGACUCUUUUUGCAUGUACCUUAUGAAUAAGGACCGGCUAAUUCCGUGCCAGCAGCCGCGGUAAUACGGAAGGUCCGGGCGUUAUCCGGAUUUAUUGGGUUUAAAGGGAGCGUAGGCCGGAGAUUAAGCGUGUUGUGAAAUGUAGACGCUCAACGUCUGCACUGCAGCGCGAACUGGUUUCCUUGAGUACGCACAAAGUGGGCGGAAUUCGUGGUGUAGCGGUGAAAUGCUUAGAUAUCACGAAGAACUCCGAUUGCGAAGGCAGCUCACUGGAGCGCAACUGACGCUGAAGCUCGAAAGUGCGGGUAUCGAACAGGAUUAGAUACCCUGGUAGUCCGCACGGUAAACGAUGGAUGCCCGCUGUUGGCCUGAAUAGGUCAGCGGCCAAGCGAAAGCAUUAAGCAUCCCACCUGGGGAGUACGCCGGCAACGGUGAAACUCAAAGGAAUUGACGGGGGCCCGCACAAGCGGAGGAACAUGUGGUUUAAUUCGAUGAUACGCGAGGAACCUUACCCGGGCUUGAAUUGCAGAGGAAGGAUUUGGAGACAAUGACGCCCUUCGGGGCCUCUGUGAAGGUGCUGCAUGGUUGUCGUCAGCUCGUGCCGUGAGGUGUCGGCUUAAGUGCCAUAACGAGCGCAACCCCUCUCCUUAGUUGCCAUCAGGUCAUGCUGGGCACUCUGGGGACACUGCCACCGUAAGGUGUGAGGAAGGUGGGGAUGACGUCAAAUCAGCACGGCCCUUACGUCCGGGGCUACACACGUGUUACAAUGGCAGGUACAGAGAGACGGUCCCUUGCAAAAGGGAUCAAAUCCUCAAAGCCUGUCUCAGUUCGGACUGGGGUCUGCAACCCGACCCCACGAAGCUGGAUUCGCUAGUAAUCGCGCAUCAGCCAUGGCGCGGUGAAUACGUUCCCG
RNAcentral lists this ribosomal RNA (1018 nucleotides) under uncultured bacterium. Its description in RNAcentral is "bacterial SSU rRNA". It matches the Rfam family "Bacterial small subunit ribosomal RNA", at positions 357 to 1376 of the family's 1533-position model. The record is from RNAcentral.